This 78-nucleotide ribosomal RNA is filed under the name Acinetobacter johnsonii. RNAcentral's name for it is "partial 16S ribosomal RNA". It matches the Rfam family "Bacterial small subunit ribosomal RNA", at positions 1 to 76 of the family's 1533-position model. Lineage: Bacteria; Pseudomonadati; Pseudomonadota; Gammaproteobacteria; Moraxellales; Moraxellaceae. The record is from RNAcentral.
UUUAACUGAAGAGUUUGAUCAUGGCUCAGAUUGAACGCUGGCGGCAGGCUUAACACAUGCAAGUCGAGCGGGCGAGGU